This 1338-nucleotide ribosomal RNA is filed under the name actinomycete P037.UGM050509-01. RNAcentral describes it as "bacterial SSU rRNA". It matches the Rfam family "Bacterial small subunit ribosomal RNA", at positions 79 to 1430 of the family's 1533-position model. The record is from RNAcentral. Lineage: Bacteria; Bacillati; Actinomycetota; Actinomycetes; Actinomycetales.
CUUGCUGGGUGGAUCAGUGGCGAACGGGUGAGUAACACGUGAGCAACCUGCCCCUGACUCUGGGAUAAGCGCUGGAAACGGCGUCUAAUACCGGAUACGAGUAGUGACCGCAUGGUCAAUUACUGGAAAGAUUUUUCGGUUUGGGAUGGGCUCGCGGCCUAUCAGCUUGUUGGUGAGGUAAUGGCUCACCAAGGCGUCGACGGGUAGCCGGCCUGAGAGGGUGACCGGCCACACUGGGACUGAGACACGGCCCAGACUCCUACGGGAGGCAGCAGUGGGGAAUAUUGCACAAUGGGCGGAAGCCUGAUGCAGCAACGCCGCGUGAGGGAUGACGGCCUUCGGGUUGUAAACCUCUUUUAGCAGGGAAGAAGCGNNAGUGACGGUACCUGCAGAAAAAGCGCCGGCUAACUACGUGCCAGCAGCCGCGGUAAUACGUAGGGCGCAAGCGUUAUCCGGAAUUAUUGGGCGUAAAGAGCUCGUAGGCGGUCUGUCGCGUCUGCUGUGAAAUCCCGAGGCUCAACCUCGGGUCUGCAGUGGGUACGGGCAGACUAGAGUGCGGUAGGGGAGAUUGGAAUUCCUGGUGUAGCGGUGGAAUGCGCAGAUAUCAGGAGGAACACCGAUGGCGAAGGCAGAUCUCUGGGCCGUAACUGACGCUGAGGAGCGAAAGGGUGGGGAGCAAACAGGCUUAGAUACCCUGGUAGUCCACCCCGUAAACGUUGGGAACUAGUUGUGGGGUCCAUUCCACGGAUUCCGUGACGCAGCUAACGCAUUAAGUUCCCCGCCUGGGGAGUACGGCCGCAAGGCUAAAACUCAAAGGAAUUGACGGGGACCCGCACAAGCGGCGGAGCAUGCGGAUUAAUUCGAUGCAACGCGAAGAACCUUACCAAGGCUUGACAUAUAGAGGAAACGNCUGGAAACAGUCGCCCCGCAAGGUCUCUAUACAGGUGGUGCAUGGUUGUCGUCAGCUCGUGUCGUGAGAUGUUGGGUUAAGUCCCGCAACGAGCGCAACCCUCGUUCUAUGUUGCCAGCACGUAAUGGUGGGAACUCAUGGGAUACUGCCGGGGUCAACUCGGAGGAAGGUGGGGAUGACGUCAAAUCAUCAUGCCCCUUAUGUCUUGGGCUUCACGCAUGCUACAAUGGCCGGUACAAAGGGCUGCAAUACCGCGAGGUGGAGCGAAUCCCAAAAAGCCGGUCCCAGUUCGGAUUGAGGUCUGCAACUCGACCUCAUGAAGUCGGAGUCGCUAGUAAUCGCAGAUCAGCAACGCUGCGGUGAAUACGUUCCCGGGUCUUGUACACACCGCCCGUCAAGUCAUGAAAGUCGGUAACACCUGAAGCCGG